GAUGAACGCUGGCUACGUGCUUAACACAUGCAAGUCGAGCGGCAUCUUAUGCUUAGCUUGUUCAGGGGAUUAGCCACCCGGACACCGGUGAAUAGGUGAUUCCCAACCUGGCCAUCUGCCCCUGAUAGGCUUGUAAACGUUGGAUUCGAUCUGAUGGCCUCAGUUGUCCGCAUGUAUACAUGCUUCAAGCCUUCAGGAGGUGAUGGACGGGGGUGGGUCUGCUUCUGAAUUUGGCGGGGGUGAGGCCCCCGCUCCCCUCGGUGACUAUGGGUUCUCAAACUAAGGUGGUGAUCGGCCAAAUUGAAACUGAGACACGGUUCCAACUUCAACCGACGGUGACGAUUAGGAAUCUUUGGCCGAGAGCCAGAACCUGACGCAUCACCUGCGCGAGAAAGACCAUUGCCUUCGGGUUGCGAACUUCUGUUCGAAUGAAAUAAACCAAUGACGGUGUCUUUGGAGGAAGCCCCGGAUAACUACCUGCCUACUUCCGUGCCAAUACCUACGGGGAAACCGUUAGUCCGAGUUAUUGCGCGUAUUAAUUGCUUUAGUGGUUACCUAAGCGCAAGGUGUAAAUUUAGAGGCUCAACCUCUGGCUGCCUUCUGAACUGGGCUACUUAAUAGCUGUAUGGGAAAGCCGAAGUGCUAGUGUAAUUCUGAGAUGCGUAGAUAAAUGGAUGAAUAUCCUGAACAACUGCGAUUUUCUAGACUGUCACUGACACUGUAGCUGACACUCGUGCUUAACAGUGCGGAUUUCAUACCCU
Molecule: ribosomal RNA, 761 nt
Filed under: uncultured bacterium
Lineage: Bacteria
Description: bacterial SSU rRNA
Rfam family: Bacterial small subunit ribosomal RNA
Source: RNAcentral